Molecule: long non-coding RNA, 812 nt
Filed under: Homo sapiens (human)
Lineage: Eukaryota; Metazoa; Chordata; Mammalia; Primates; Hominidae
Description: HSALNT0345060
Source: RNAcentral
UUGCGCAUGCGGGAAACCCACGCUGAGGGAAGAAUCAUGGGAAAGAGUAGAGACGGGGUUCCACCGUGUUAGCCAGGAUGGUCUCGAUUUCCUGACCUCGUCAUCCUCCCGCCUUGGCCUCCCAAAGUGCUGGGAUUACAGGCUUGAGCCACCGCGCCCCGCUCUUUCGUGUUCCAAAGGCUUUUUAAAUAAACUUCCACUCCUGUCCUGGAUUCUGCUUUAUGGCCCUCAGUCGAAUUCUUUCUUCUGAGGAGGCAAGGACUGAAGUUGCUUCUGACCAGUACAGGAGAAAACGAAUACAGCAGGGAUGACUUCCACCAGCUCCACUUUGCAGCUCUGAGGUGUAUUAAAAAUAAACCUAGAGCCCCACCAAAUGAAUCCGCUGGCACGUGGACCUCAGAUGGGGGAAACUGAGGACUGAAUUCUGACCACCCUCCUUUGUUCUAAAUUUCUUCCUGAAGGACCUGGAAGAAGUCAUGCCACGGGCCAGACCUUAACAUUCCUUUCGGCUUACCCCAGGAUUUCAGACAAAGCUUCACUUUCCUAACCAGUCACAAAUCAGAGAAUUUUUGAUUCCACCUAUGACCUGUGAGCUCCUGCUUCAAGAUAUUCCACCUUUUUUAGGCCAAACCAAUGUAUAACCUCCAAGUGUCGAUUUACACUUUCGACUGUAACUUCUGCUUUCCUGAGAUUUACCCCUGCCUUUAAAAACCCUUGCUUGUAAUCCCUCAGGGAGGCCGUGUAUUUAUUAAUCAUGAGCUGCCCAAUUCUCCUUGCUUGGUGCCCUGCAAAUAAACACCCUCUUUUCUCCC